This 243-nucleotide long non-coding RNA is filed under the name Setaria viridis. RNAcentral describes it as "long non-coding RNA (SVIR_LNC007968)". Lineage: Eukaryota; Viridiplantae; Streptophyta; Magnoliopsida; Poales; Poaceae. The record is from RNAcentral.
GAAGGAACGUUCUGACAAACGAAGGUAGUAGCUGUUCAGACAAACAUUACAGUAGCUAUCCUAUCGGUGAUUAAUGCCCUCCUCGGGGUGGCGGUUCACCUCCCUUUAUAGGGCUAUAAAGUUACAUUUCGGCAUCCCCGUUAUACCCAUAUCCAACCACUACAUCCUAAGAAUAUUCCGCACUGGACGGUAACUUGAUUCCUACCCAAAAUGUCACUUUCACGGUAGAACUAUAUAUCCAAC